Molecule: ribosomal RNA, 336 nt
Filed under: Triticum aestivum (bread wheat)
Lineage: Eukaryota; Viridiplantae; Streptophyta; Magnoliopsida; Poales; Poaceae
Description: partial small subunit ribosomal RNA
Source: RNAcentral
AUGCGCCACGCCAUCGUCGUCAACAUCGGCGACCAGCUGGAGGUGAUCACCAACGGGCGGUACAAGAGCGUGAUGCACCGCGUGCUCACCCGCCCCGACGGCAACCGCAUGUCCCUCGCCUCCUUCUACAACCCCGGCGCGGACGCCGUCAUCUUCCCUGCCCCGGCGCUUGUCGAGGAGCUGUCGGAGGAGGAGGCGGAGCGUGCCGGGAGCGCCGUGUACCCGAGGUUCGUGUUCGAGGACUACAUGAACCUGUACUUGCUCCACAAGUUCGAGGCCAAGGAGCCGCGCUUCCAGGCCAUGAAGGCGGACGCCGCGCCCAUCGCCACCGCGUGA